UGGGGAAUCUUGGACAAUGGGCGAAAGCCUGAUCCAGCCAUGCCGCGUGUGUGAAGAAGGUCUUCGGAUUUUAAAGCACUUUAAGUUGGGAGGAAGGGCAGUAAGCGAAUACCUUGCUGUUUUCACGUUACCGACAGAAUAAGCACCGGCUCACUCUGUGCCAGCAGCCGCGGUAAUACAGAGGGUGCAAGCGUUACUCGGAAUUACUGGGCGUAAAGCGCGCGUAGGUGGUUCGUUAAGUUGAAUGUGAAAGCCCCGGGCUCAACCUGGGAACAGCAUUCAACACUGGCGGGCUAGAGUAGGGCAGAGGGUGGUGGAAUUUCCUGUGUAGCGGUGAAAUGCGUAGAUAUAGGAAGGAACCCCAGUGGCGAAGGCGACCACCUGGGCUCAUACUGACACUGAGGUGCGAAAGCGUGGGAAGCAAACAGG
RNAcentral lists this ribosomal RNA (429 nucleotides) under Pseudomonadota bacterium. RNAcentral describes it as "Proteobacteria bacterium partial 16S ribosomal RNA". It matches the Rfam family "Bacterial small subunit ribosomal RNA", at positions 355 to 776 of the family's 1533-position model. The record is from RNAcentral. Lineage: Bacteria; Pseudomonadati; Pseudomonadota.